RNAcentral lists this ribosomal RNA (1521 nucleotides) under Chryseobacterium gallinarum. RNAcentral's name for it is "bacterial SSU rRNA". It matches the Rfam family "Bacterial small subunit ribosomal RNA". The record is from RNAcentral. Lineage: Bacteria; Pseudomonadati; Bacteroidota; Flavobacteriia; Flavobacteriales; Weeksellaceae.
ACAAUGGAGAGUUUGAUCCUGGCUCAGGAUGAACGCUAGCGGGAGGCCUAACACAUGCAAGCCGAGCGGUAGAUUGCUUUCGGGCAAUUGAGAGCGGCGUACGGGUGCGGAACACGUGUGCAACCUGCCUUUAUCUGGGGGAUAGCCUUUCGAAAGGAAGAUUAAUACCCCAUAAUAUAAGAGACGGCAUCGUUUUUUAUUGAAAACUCCGGUGGAUAGAGAUGGGCACGCGCAAGAUUAGAUAGUUGGUGAGGUAACGGCUCACCAAGUCGACGAUCUUUAGGGGGCCUGAGAGGGUGAUCCCCCACACUGGUACUGAGACACGGACCAGACUCCUACGGGAGGCAGCAGUGAGGAAUAUUGGACAAUGGGUGAAAGCCUGAUCCAGCCAUCCCGCGUGAAGGACGACGGCCCUAUGGGUUGUAAACUUCUUUUGUAUAGGGAUAAACCUUUCCACGAGUGGAAAGCUGAAGGUACUAUACGAAUAAGCACCGGCUAACUCCGUGCCAGCAGCCGCGGUAAUACGGAGGGUGCAAGCGUUAUCCGGAUUUAUUGGGUUUAAAGGGUCCGUAGGCUGAUUUGUAAGUCAGUGGUGAAAUCUCACAGCUUAACUGUGAAACUGCCAUUGAUACUGCAAGUCUUGAGUGUUGUUGAAGUAGCUGGAAUAAGUAGUGUAGCGGUGAAAUGCAUAGAUAUUACUUAGAACACCAAUUGCGAAGGCAGGUUACUAAGCAACAACUGACGCUGAUGGACGAAAGCGUGGGGAGCGAACAGGAUUAGAUACCCUGGUAGUCCACGCCGUAAACGAUGCUAACUCGUUUUUGGGAUGUAAAUUUCAGAGACUAAGCGAAAGUGAUAAGUUAGCCACCUGGGGAGUACGAACGCAAGUUUGAAACUCAAAGGAAUUGACGGGGGCCCGCACAAGCGGUGGAUUAUGUGGUUUAAUUCGAUGAUACGCGAGGAACCUUACCAAGGCUUAAAUGGGAAAUGACAGGCUUAGAAAUAGGCUUUUCUUCGGACAUUUUUCAAGGUGCUGCAUGGUUGUCGUCAGCUCGUGCCGUGAGGUGUUAGGUUAAGUCCUGCAACGAGCGCAACCCCUGUCACUAGUUGCCAUCAUUAAGUUGGGGACUCUAGUGAGACUGCCUACGCAAGUAGAGAGGAAGGUGGGGAUGACGUCAAAUCAUCACGGCCCUUACGCCUUGGGCCACACACGUAAUACAAUGGCCGGUACAGAGGGCAGCUACACAGUGAUGUGAUGCAAAUCUCGAAAGCCGGUCUCAGUUCGGAUUGGAGUCUGCAACUCGACUCUAUGAAGCUGGAAUCGCUAGUAAUCGCGCAUCAGCCAUGGCGCGGUGAAUACGUUCCCGGGCCUUGUACACACCGCCCGUCAAGCCAUGGAAGUCUGGGGUACCUGAAGUCGGUGACCGUAAAAGGAGCUGCCUAGGGUAAAACAGGUAACUAGGGCUAAGUCGUAACAAGGUAGCCGUACCGGAAGGUGCGGCUGGAACAUCUCAUUUUAGA